AUUGAACGCUGGCGGCAUGCCUUACACAUGCAAGUCGAACGGUAACAGGUCUUCGGAUGCUGACGAGUGGCGAACGGGUGAGUAAUACAUCGGAACGUGCCCGAUCGUGGGGGAUAACGAAGCGAAAGCUUUGCUAAUACCGCAUACGAUCUACGGAUGAAAGCAGGGGACCGCAAGGCCUUGCGCGAACGGAGCGGCCGAUGGCAGAUUAGGUAGUUGGUGGGGUAAAGGCCUACCAAGGCGACGAUCCGUAACUGGUCUGAGAGGAUGAUCAGUCACACUGGAACUGAGACACGGUCCAGACUCCUACGGGAGGCAGCAGUGGGGAAUAUUGGACAAUGGGCGAAAGCCUGAUCCAGCCAUGCCGCGUGUGUGAAGAAGGUCUUCGGAUUGUAAAGCACUUUAAGUUGGGAGGAAGGGCAGUAAGUUAAUACCUUGCUGUUUUGACGUUACCAACAGAAUAAAGCACCGGCUAACUUCGUGCCAGCCGCCGCAG
This 496-nucleotide ribosomal RNA is filed under the name uncultured bacterium. Its description in RNAcentral is "bacterial SSU rRNA". It matches the Rfam family "Bacterial small subunit ribosomal RNA", at positions 30 to 520 of the family's 1533-position model. The record is from RNAcentral.